Molecule: long non-coding RNA, 1193 nt
Organism: Oreochromis aureus
Lineage: Eukaryota; Metazoa; Chordata; Actinopteri; Cichliformes; Cichlidae
Source: Ensembl
UUUAGAAAAGAGAGAAAGUUCAGAAAGUGGGGAAUGUGCAGAAGUUGAAAGGCAGGCAGAAAGUAUUACACCUAAGACCCGAAAAGAAGAAAUUGUAGAUGACAUUGUCAAUAUUAUACUUGACAAUCUCCAGUGUUCUGACACUGAUUAUUCUUGCCACAGUGAGAAAUGUACCUCACCCCAAUCUAGAGCCAAUGUGGGAAUCAUCUUUGAUAAAGUGAGAGAGUUUUUUACCUCACGUGCUCCUUCCGCACCGCAAAAAUCCCGCAAACUGCAUUUUUCCAAGUUUGCAGGAAAACAUUUUCAAAAGAUGAAGGGGGAGCUGAAAACAACAGUGAAGAAGAGCAAAAAUUAUUUUAUUAGUCUGUCAAAGGUAACCCACUCCCCUGAAACUGAGAGAACGGGUUCCCACGACAGGAUGAGUGUCAACCUCCCAGGUUCAGCAUGUGAAACUCCUCGUUCAAAUUCUAGCAUAUCUGUCCGUGCCCCUUCUAGAAGCUCAUCUACUCUGGAAAGCAUGAUAAAAUCUUCUACUCCGACUAGCUUUAAUGUCAUCAAAUCUAACAUUAGUGACAUAUACAGCGAGUUCACAAAAGAGAAAGAACAUGACAUUAUCCAAGAAAGGCUCGAAAACAUUAAAAUAAGUGAGAAAGUGAAAAAUUUCUCAAGAGAAUUGACAGAGAAAAUGUACGACCAUUUAAUGAAAAGUCGUAUAUACCAAAUUCCCACAACUUUUAUGGGUAGAAGUCUAUCCGACUCUGUCAUCUCCAGGACACCACAGCCAGUAGCUGAAUCGAGAGUUUAUUUUUCUCCUGAAGUCCUCUAUGUAAUCAUAGAAGAUGCAAUUGGAAAGUUUUUGCAGAAGAUUCUGCUUUUGGUUGAUGAUGAAACAAUAGAUGAAAUUGUUCAGAGCGAAAAAGUGUCUGAUGCUGUCCAAUAUAUCCAAAAGGUCAAUGCAAAAGGACAGACACGGGCAAAAGACACAGAAUCAGACUAUUUUCAAAAAAGUGGCAGAGAAUCUACAAAACCCUGUCCUUCUAGACCAGCGUCUCUGGAAAAGCAGGUCAAGUCACCAGAGAAAAGCUCAACAUCCUCUCGUUCAAGUUCAACACCAGUUCUCAAGAGGAUGGAGGAGGAAAUGUCUGGAAAGUCAGAGGACAGAUUCUCCAAAAAGCUUGAGGACAUACCCUCGG